Molecule: ribosomal RNA, 478 nt
Filed under: uncultured bacterium
Lineage: Bacteria
Description: partial 16S ribosomal RNA
Rfam family: Bacterial small subunit ribosomal RNA
Source: RNAcentral
GACGAACGCUGGCGGCGUGCUUAACACAUGCAAGUCGAACGGUAAGGCCCUUCGGGGUACACGAGUGGCGAACGGGUGAGUAACACGUGGGUGAUCUGCCCUGCACUUCGGGAUAAGCCUGGGAAACUGGGUCUAAUACCGGAUAGGACUCCGGACUGCAUGGUCUGGGGUGGAAAGCUUUUGCGGUGUGGGAUGGGCCCGCGGCCUAUCAGCUUGUUGGUGGGGUGCUGGGCAACCAAGGCGACGACGGGUAGCCGGCCUGAGAGGGUGACCGGCCACACUGGGACUGAGAUACGGCCCAGACUCCUGCGGGAGGCAGCAGUGGGGAAUAUUGCACAAUGGGCGCAAGCCUGAUGCAGCGACGCCGCGUGAGGGAUGACGGCCUUCGGGUUGUAAACCUCUUUCAGCAUCGACGAAGCGAAAGUGACGGUAGGUGCAGAAGAAGGACCGGCCAACUACGUGCCAGCAGCCGCCGCAG